This 250-nucleotide ribosomal RNA is filed under the name uncultured bacterium. Its description in RNAcentral is "partial 16S ribosomal RNA". It matches the Rfam family "Bacterial small subunit ribosomal RNA", at positions 524 to 773 of the family's 1533-position model. The record is from RNAcentral.
UACGUAGGUGGCGAGCGUUGUCCGGAAUUACUGGGCGUAAAGGGCGCGUAGGCGGCUUUUUAAGUCAGAUGUGAAAACCCGGGGCUUAACUCCGGGAUUGCAUUUGAAACUGGAGAGCUUGAGUGCAGGAGAGGUAAGUGGAAUUCCUAGUGUAGCGGUGAAAUGCGUAGAUAUUAGGAGGAACACCAGUGGCGAAGGCGACUUACUGGACUGUAACUGACGCUGAGGCGCGAAAGCGUGGGGAGCGAAC